Molecule: ribosomal RNA, 253 nt
Filed under: uncultured bacterium
Lineage: Bacteria
Description: partial 16S ribosomal RNA
Rfam family: Bacterial small subunit ribosomal RNA
Source: RNAcentral
UACGUAGGGGGCUAGCGUUGCUCGGAAUCACUGGGCGUAAAGCGCACGUAGGCGGAUUGUUAAGUCAGGGGUGAAAUCCUGGAGCUCAACUCCAGAACUGCCUUUGAUACUGACGGUCUUGAGUUCGGGAGAGGUGAGUGGAACUGCGAGUGUAGAGGUGAAAUUCGUAGAUAUUCGCAAGAACACCAGUGGCGAAGGCGGCUCACUGGCCCGAUACUGACGCUGAGGUGCGAAAGCGUGGGGAGCAAACAGG